AAUCAAAGGCCAGAAGGCCACAUUCCUUUGGUGUUGUUGAUUUCACCAGUAUCUUUUGUCUGAAAGCCUGUGCUGACAGGGUAUCAGGGGAGAACUCCUGGGGUGAGUGGGGAUGAGUGAGGGCAGCCAGAUGGAUCUGCAUCCCUGUCAAACUUGGGUCAGCAAAGGUCAAGUUCUCAAGCUCCAGAGAGGACCCUCCAGCACCCCAGGAUUAGUCAAGGGGAGAGUCAGACACUCUUCACAGCACAGAAUCAACAUUAUCUAGAGCGUGACAGGGACAAGUGGAAUAUAAUACAUGGGGGUGUGCAAGGGAGGUGCUGUUCACGCCUCCAGAAAAUGGCAGGGACACAACUCUCUCCCUGCCCUGAAUCCUCACCUUUUGUCACAGGAAAUGUUCAAAAUGAGAUUUGUGUGUAGGGACAGUCAGACCAUGGUGCUGAGGUCAAGUGUAUGUGUUGGUUAAUCACAGCUUUUUUUUAGGCUAGGAUUCAAGUUCAUAUGAAACGUAGCUCACCUACACGUAGUGAGACAGAGCUGGGUAAUUUUUCUUUCCUCUUGGUGGCAAAUGGGAAUUUUGUUGAGAAAAAUGCUGGGUUUAUAGUCUAGAAACUGUUCACAGAUUUGGUAUUCAUUGAAAAGUUGUUUGGAUAAAAAAUGUCUUAAGGCACACUGACAAAACCAAAGGAAAAAAUUAUCUGUCCCUUUUCAUCUCUUAGCAUCAAGGAUGUGGGAUAGACAUCUUUUUCCUCUCUUUUUCCUGAGGUGACAUGAUCUUAACGUUCCACCAUGUUUGGGCUAUUUUGGUUGGUGAUGUUCAUGGCUGCUCCUAAGGGAGCCAGCCAGUUCUUCAUGGAGUACUCAAAUAUUUACCAAGCAGGGGCAGGGAGGGAGGGCAGGGAAUGAGGAAAAAUGAUGGCAAAUCUGUCCACAAGACAUUUACCAAAGAGAGGGAGCGUCUGAGUCACAGGAUCCGAUCUCUCGCAUAUUUGUUCAGGCAAAGAAGACUCAGGUCAGCCAAGGGAUUGAGAGCAGCUUUGAUUCCUCAUCUCCUGGUGAAAGAACUGAAGUAAGUUGGCACCAUCAAGAAGAGCCUGGAUUUGAGGAGCUGACAAAAGGAUUUUUGCUUUUUAUUACUGAAAUGCAUCCACACCUGUGUGUGAUGUAUUGGCAGAGGCUGGAAGCAGCGGUCCCAGCAGAUCCCUGCAGGUGAGUUCCACAGCGCUAGAGGGACCCAGCCCAAGAAUCAAACUGGGAGGGAAGAGCACAGACACAUGGCAUUCACUGCUACUUGAUGACUUAUGGCUGUCUUCUGCUCAGUGGUGUCUGUGUGCACAUUCAGCCCACGGCAGAAGUCAGGAAAACCAGGUGAUGUGAAACCUCAGAAAAAAGUGGCAGAAGUUAAGGACUCUUUUCAGCUCAUGCUGGCUGGGCAGUAAGAGCAUAUGCACCUACCCAGCUACCUUGGUUCAGCUGGGGUGCUUUAAUCUGGUGUUGGUUGUGCCCUUCAGUCCCAUCCUUGAACUCUGCGAAGGAAGCAACAACGUGUAACAAGUGCUGGCAGUCAUACUGGGUUUGUGUGAACAUCAAGGUUAGCAUUUCCAAAGCAUGCAGGUGACUUUUGAAACUAAAUUCAAUUACAGUUAGACUUUGUGGCUCCAAAGUGCCUUCAUUAUUUUGGGAAAUUAGAUUUUGGGCCAAGUUAAAAUAAAAUAAAAAAAUCAAUCA
This is a long non-coding RNA of Cyanistes caeruleus (blue tit), 1725 nucleotides long. The record is from Ensembl. NCBI's taxonomy places the organism in Eukaryota, Metazoa, Chordata, Aves, Passeriformes, Paridae.